CGAUGGUCAACCCAUUCAUUCAACAGAUGUCUGCAGAGCAGCUGCUAUGUUCCAGAAUGUGGGCCUGAAUGAGACAGGCAAGACCUCUGCCAACAUGGACCUCACAGUCUCGUCGGAGAGCCAACCAAUAAACAGGUGUUUUGGCCUUCAUUAGCUGCAUCAAGGGUCUGUCCUCCCAGAGCCCAGCUCUCUGGAGGGUGAAGCGACUGACAACUUCUUCCAGUUCUGGGCCGAACCCUGCCUCAACUAUCUCGCACUGCACUGCAGACCCACCCACUGGUGGAAGAGAAGGCUCUGAUAAGGGAAAAAAGACAAUAUCUCCAAGUGUUUCAAGUACAAGUGCUAGACCCCGUGUGUUCUCUUCUAACAAAGGCCAGCAGAGAAGAAGAUGCCGGUGAUUUGUUGGUCUGACUUUACCUAUUUGAAAAAUGCCCUCCAUGCUUCAACAUGACACUCUCGAGCAUUUCCUAUCCUCUUGACAGAUCCCAGAAAAUUCACAAAGCUGCGGACAUUAUUGCCCGAGAUAACUGGGAAGUGGUGUAUUCGUGGCGGCACAAAUAGGGAAAGAAAAUGAAUUGUUUGAAAAAAAAAUGCAUGGGCACAUAGGAAGACAUUUAUGCACAGAUUUAUAAGUUCCUAUAAAUGCCACUUCUAGAAUAUUCAUCUCAAUCCAGAGCCGUUUCUUUUUCUGAAAAGUAAUUCUUAAUAAAGAUUCCAUCACCCUCGGUAAACCUUCAAGUAUUUCUUUCAUAUCUUACACGAGAGGAUGCUUCUUUCUCAGUCAGGACUGCUGGUGUCUUGGUCCCCUGCUGGAGGGGUGAAGUUUACUGCUUGCUCCUUUUGUGUGAAGGGAAAAUAAAAGUGGGAUUCUCUUU
This is a non-coding RNA of Leptonychotes weddellii (Weddell seal), 875 nucleotides long. The record is from RefSeq and is a predicted model, not a curated record. NCBI's taxonomy places the organism in Eukaryota, Metazoa, Chordata, Mammalia, Carnivora, Phocidae.